This 501-nucleotide ribosomal RNA is filed under the name uncultured bacterium. Its description in RNAcentral is "partial 16S ribosomal RNA". It matches the Rfam family "Bacterial small subunit ribosomal RNA", at positions 29 to 523 of the family's 1533-position model. The record is from RNAcentral.
AUUGAACGCUGGCGGCAUGCCUUACACAUGCAAGUCGAACGGCAGCACGGGUGCUUGCACCUGGUGGCGAGUGGCGAACGGGUGAGUAAUACAUCGGAACGUACCUUAUCGUGGGGGAUAACGCAGCGAAAGCUGUGCUAAUACCGCAUACGCCCUGAGGGGGAAAGCGGGGGAUCGAAAGACCUCGCGCGAUUAGAGCGGCCGAUGCCUGAUUAGCUUGUUGGUGGGGUAAAAGCCCACCAAGGCGACGAUCAGUAGCUGGUCUGAGAGGAAGAUCAGCCACACUGGGACUGAGACACGGCCCAGACUCCUACGGGAGGCAGCAGUGGGGAAUUUUGGACAAUGGGGGCAACCCUGAUCCAGCAAUGCCGCGUGAGUGAAGAAGGCCUUCGGGUUGUAAAGCUCUUUUGUCGGGGAAGAAACACCGGCUCUAACACAGUCCGGGAAUGACGGUACCUGAAGAAUAAGCACCGGCUAACUACGUGCCAGCCGCCGCGGUAA